CUAACACCGAGAGGUGAUGAGAGACGGAAGGUUCUGCCGGAAGUCGAACUGAGUAAUUCCAUGCUUCCAAGAAAAGCCGCGAGUCGAGCAGACAGGCCGUCCGUACCGUAAACCGACACAGGUAGGCAGGGAGAGCAUCCCAAGGCGCUUGAGAGAACUACGGUUAAGGAACUAGGCAAAUUGGCACCGUAACUUCGGGAGAAGGUGUGCCUCUGGAGGUGAUGGACUUCGCGUCCUGAGCGUCCGGGGGUCGCAGUGACCAGGGGGUAGCGACUGUUUACUAAAAACAUAGGUCUGUGCGAAGUCGCAAGACGACGUAUACGGACUGACGCCUCCCCGGUGCCGGAAGGUUAAGAGGAGGGGUCAGCCUUCGGGCGAAGCUCUGAAUCGAAGCCCCGGUAAACGGCGGCCGUAACAAUAACGGUCUUAAGGUAGCGAAAUUCCUUGUCGGGUAAGUUCCGACCUGCACGAAUGGCGUAACGACUUCCCCACUGUCUCAACCGUAGACUCAGCGAAAUUGAAUUCUCGGUGAAGAUGCCGAGUACCCGCGACAGGACGGAAAGACCCCGUGAACCUUUACUAUAGCUUGGCAGUGGUAUUCGGGUUAGUCUGUGUAGGAUAGGUGGGAGGCUGAGAAGUCGGAGCGCCAGCUUCGGUGGAGCCAUCCUUGAAAUACCACCCUGGCUAGCCUGGAUGCCUAACCUCGGUCCGUGAAGCCGGGCCAGGGACACUGUCUGGUGGGUAGUUUGACUGGGGCGGUCGCCUCCCAAAAAGUAACGGAGGCGCGCAAAGGUUCCCUCAGGCUGAUUGGAAACCAGCCGCAGAGUGCAAAGGCAGAAGGGAGCUUGACUGCGAGACCGACAGGUCGAGCAGUUGCGAAAGCAGGUCUUAGUGAUCCGGCGAUUCUGAGUGGAAGGGUCGUCGCUCAACGGAUAAAAGGUACUCCGGGGAUAACAGGCUUAUCUCCCCCAAGAGUUCACAUCGACGGGGAGGUUUGGCACCUCGAUGUCGGCUCAUCGCAUCCUGGGGCUGGAGCAGGUCCCAAGGGUUUGGCUGUUCGCCAAUUAAAGCGGUACGCGAGCUGGGUUUAGAACGCCGUGAGACAGUUCGGUCCCUAUCCGUCGCGGGCGCAGGAGUUUUGAGAGGAGCUGUCCCUAGUACGAGAGGACCGGGAUGGACUGACCGCUGGUGUUCCAGUUGUCUCGCCAGAGGCAUAGCUGGGUAGCUAAGUCGGGAACGGAUAACCGCUGAAAGCAUCUAAGCGGGAAGCCAACCUCAAGAUGAGAACUCCCGGGCUUUAUGCCCCUGAAGGCCCCUCGUAGACUACGAGGUCGAUAGGCAGGGUGUGUAAGCACAGCAAUGUGUUCAGCUAACCUGUACUAAUAGGCCGUGAGGCUUGACUCC
Molecule: ribosomal RNA, 1404 nt
Filed under: metagenome
Description: bacterial LSU rRNA
Rfam family: Bacterial large subunit ribosomal RNA
Source: RNAcentral